This is a long non-coding RNA of Chenopodium quinoa (quinoa), 5014 nucleotides long. RefSeq lists it as uncharacterized. The record is from RefSeq and is a predicted model, not a curated record. The transcript is spliced from 3 exons. NCBI's taxonomy places the organism in Eukaryota, Viridiplantae, Streptophyta, Magnoliopsida, Caryophyllales, Amaranthaceae.
ACUCAACUCAUCAUCAUCAAUAUUGAUUUGCCCAUUUUGCGAAAGAGUCAACUACUUCUACUCACUAUUACUUUUUCCAAUUGGAUAAACCCAUUUUCAAACUUACCGGUUCAACCCAAACUGAUUAUGACCCGAAACGAUUACAACCCGACCCAAUUAGGACCUAAUCGGAAUAGAAAUCGCAAUAAAAUAUAACUAAACUGAACUGACUCGAUAAUUUUUAAAACCGACCAGCUAAUCAUUUCAACUCGUUAUAAACCGAUCCGUUAAACCCAAAACCGAUAAACCCAACCCGAAUCCGAACCGUUUACCCGAAUUGACACCCGUAAACAACAUGUAUUAUGUAUUUUUUUUUUGAGAAACAUUAUUAUUAAUGUCAAAAAAUAAAAUUAUUAUUAUACCAUCACUAAUGAGUAAUGAUUCGACCAAUUAGUUGUUGGUGCAGUGGUGAUUGGUAUUGCACUUGGUAGGGAGGACCCGUGUUUGAUCCCCCGCAACAACAAUUGGGAGAGGACUGAAACCUAACUAACCAAAAUUGAUCCCCGAAAUCGAAUUAGCCCAAAGGGUGAACCGGGUUAAAAAAAAAAAAAAAAAAAAAAAAAAAAAAAAAAAAAAGAGUAAUGAUUCUCCAAACAAAUCACUGAAGACUAAAAAACUCCAACUAAUUCGUUGAGUUCCCACAAAAUCCUUUUGAAAAAGAAAAAAAUUCCUAAAAAAAAAACAAGUCAAAAGACUGCCAUCUAAUAUUCCAAACUUGAUCUCCUUCAGAAUUUCACUCAUCAAAUUCGAAUUUGAUUUCGAUUUUUUUAUAUCAAUUUCUAAUUUUUUAGUGUAGAUUGAAGAUAGUGAGGAAUUAAUAAUAGAUUGUUUGGUAUCAUCUUCUAAUUAUAUCUUAGUGUUACUAGAAGAUAGCAAAGGGUAGGUCGAGGAAGAAACAAAGACAAGUCCGAAAAAGCUACUCAACUAGCUAAUUGCUGUUUGUUAAUCUGGAAUUUAUUGAGGAAGAUGAUGAACCGGAAAUUUUAUGCCCAUGUACGAAGUGUGUUAACAGAUUCUGGUUCACUAGGGAGGUGGUUUUCGAUCACCUAAUUGCUCAUAUAUUUAACAAGAGGUAUAAAGUGUGGAAUUUUCAUGGCGAAGGACUAACGGCAGGGUCUUCUUUAAGGGGAGGUGGGCAUCAAUGUCAUAAUCAAAACACAUUAGACAAUAUAGGUGAGAUGAUUAAUGAUAUAUUCAGAGAUGUUAUGGGAGGUUCCACCCCUGAAGCAGAAGGAAUUCACAAGGGUCUUGAUGAGAAGGCUAAAAAGUUUUUUAAACUGUUAGAAGAUGCAAAAGAGGAAUUAUAUCCAGGUUGUAAAAAAUUUUCAGUGCUUUCAUACAGAGUGCAACUUUAUUUACUUAAAUGCCUUAACAGGUGGAGCAAUUCUUCUUUCGAUGAGUUGAUGAAGCUUCAAUGUGCUGCAUUUCCAUCAGCAAAGCUCCCCACUUCUUUUCAUCAUGCUAAAAAAAAUGGUGAAGAACCUUGGACUUGAUUACAAACGAAUUGAUGCGUGUCCCAAUGAUUGUAUGCUGUAUUAGAAAGAGCGUGCAAAUGACAAGUCUUGCCAUGUUUGUAAAGCUUCUAGGUGGAAAUUAAAUGAGAAACAAAAAGAGGAAGGUGCAUUGCCCGACAAAGGAGUUCCUGCAAAAGUUUUGCGUUACUUUCCACUUAAACCUUGUCUACAAAGGUUGUUCAUGUACCCUAAGAUGGCUGAACUCAUGACAUGGCAUGAAACUGAUCGUAAGAAAGAUGACAAAUUAAGGCACCCUGCUGAUGGAUAAGCUUGGAAAAAUUUCGAUAUUGCGCAUCCUCAAUUUGCAAGUGAUUUUUGAAAUGUGAGUCUUGGUCUUACUACUGAUGGUUUCAACUCGUUCAGAACUAUGAGUGUGUCAUAUAGUAUUUGGCCAGUUGUUUUAUCCAUUUAUAAUUUACCUCCUUGGUUAUAUAAUAAGUCUGAGUAUGAUAUCAUGUCUUUGAUUAUACCUGGUCCUUCUUCUCCAGGGUAUGACAUAGAUGUUUAUUUGUAAUCGUUAAUCGAGGAAUUGAAGGAGUUAUGGGAAGUUGGAGUUGACACUUAUGAUGCCGUGAAAGAUGAAACAUUUUCAUUAAGGGCAGCCUUGUUAUGGACAAUCAGUGACUUUCUUGCUUAUGCAAUUUUGUCGGGAUGGAGUACUAAAGGAGAAUUUUCUUGCCCGAAUUGUAAUCAUAAGACUUGGUCCAAAUACCUUAAGUAUAGUAAGAAAAUGUGUUACAUAGGACAUCGUAGCUCUUUGAAAGAAAAUCACCCAUGGCGUCGUAAUAAAAGAGCAUUUGAUGGUAAUGUAGAAACAAGGCCUCCUCCUACUAGAUUGUCGGGUUUUGAUGUAUUAAAAGAUCUAGAAGGGUUUGACAAUAAAUUUGGGAAAACUCAAAACAAAGGCAGGAAGAAAUUUCCUUGGAAGAAGAAAUCUAUUUUCUUUGAGCUUCCUUAUUGGGAAACUAAUACUUGCGUCACAAUCUUGAUGUUAUGCACAUUGAGAAAAAUAUCUGUGACAGUGUGCUUGGUACUUUGCUUGAUAUCACAGGGAAGACCAAAGACCAUGUGGCAGCCCGCUUUGAUUUACAAGAUAUGGGUAUAAUAAAUGAACUCCAUCCAAAGAGAACUAAUAGUAGAGGGAAGCGUUUAUACUCCAAAGCUUGUUUUUCCUUAUCUUCUAAUGAAAAAGACUUGUUUUGCAGUGUGAUAAAAAGUGCUAAGUUUCCCGAUGGUUGUGCAUCAACCAUCUCCAGAUGCGUCCAAUCCCAUGAGAGGAAUGUUACUGGUUACAAGAGUCAUGAUGCCCAAUUUUUGCUUCAUUAUUUUCUCCAAGUUGCUGUAAAGAAUACCUUGCCUAAGCAAGUAGCAUCGACUAUGAUUAAGCUGGUCUAUGUAGGAAAGUUCUAAAGUAAAGAUCUUGACGAUCUUGAAUCUGAAAUCAUAGAGAUACUUUGCCUACUUGAGAAGAUAUUCCCCCCUAGUUUCUUUAACAUAAUGGUCCACCUUCCACUUCAUCUUGUAGAUGAAGUAAGGCUUGGGGGGGCUGUUCAAGGUCGUUGGAUGUAUCCGAAAAAGCGGUAUUUGGGUAAACUGAAGUCAUAUGUAAAAAAUACAAGUCGACCCGAAGGCUCCAUUGCAGAGGUCUACUUGGAAGAAGAAUGCCUUAUUUUUUGUUCUCUGUAUCUUCACAAUGAUUUUAGUUCAAAGUUGAAUCGGGCACGUUGAAAUGAUGAUGAUACGCCUCCAAUGAAGAUGGAAGCCUUUUUCCUAGUGUUGGACGUCCUUUAGGCGUAAAAAAGAAAAACAAGGGCAAAAAGGUUUCUCUAGAUGAAGACACCUUGAUGAAGGGUCACCGCUAUGUACUCUUUAAUUGCGAUGAAAUCAGUGAUUACAUAAGUGAACAUCAAGAUUUAGUGAAUCGUCAAAGAAGUCAAGGUAGACGAGGUAAGCGGACGGAGUAGGUGGGCGAGAGCACAAGAACACAGUCAUGAUAAUUGAGCAUGGUUCAAGGACCGUGUACGAGAAGAAAAUGUUUCCAAAGAAAUCAAGGCUUUACCCCAGGGUCCUGACUAGACUGUGAGAAGUUUUAAAGGGUACCUAAUAAAUGGUAACAAUUUUCAUACAACUGCACAUGAGUCAAAAAGGAAAACUCAAUGUAGUGGAGUUAGUGUAACAUCUUCAAUGUCGAGUUUUGCAAGUUUCAGGGAUCAAAAUCCUGUUGUUGGGGACGUCAAAUAUUAUGGAGUUGUGGAGGAUAUCAUUGAGUUAGAUUAUUUUGGACAUUUCAAAGUGGUAUUGUUUCGCUGUAGCUGGUUUCAAGUGGAGCAAGAUGAGUUUGGCCUAACAUGUGCAAAUUUUAAAAGGUUAUGCUAUACUAAUGACCCUUUUGUGAUGGCUAAUCAAGUAAACCAAGUUUUUUAUGUGCAAGAUUCUAAAGAAAAGCAUUUGCAUUACGUUAUGGAAACUAUCCCCGGAGAUUUCUUUGAUAUGAGUGAAGAAUCAAAUGGUGAUGUUGGAGUUUCUUAUUGAAAUGAAUCUGCUCGCGAUGGUGUUCGCCUAGGGGCAACUGUUGCUGAUGACUAUGAUGUUAGUUGGUUGAGAGAGGACUUGCCUGGCACUACUGUUGAUGUUCUAGAAUACAUGUUAGAAAUGCAAGCAGAGCCGGAAAUUGAUGAUUCGGAUGAUGAAAUCGAGGACAAUACUCUAUGGGAUUUCAUGCAAGCAAGUGAAGAUGAAGCUUAGGAAAUAUGAUUUGUCAUUUCUAGUAUUCUAUUUUUAGUAACUUUGAAGUAAUAAAAGCUUAGGGAUUUUAGCUUAAACAGUUUUGGUUUUGUUUGGUUUUUAGUAACUCUAGUAUCCUGUUUUUGCUGCCUGUUAUGUUUGCUUGGGAGUGGUCUGUUUCUGUUAUGCUGUCGUCUGCUGUGAGGCUAAUUCUGUUGAGAUGUGUAGGUCCUCAUUUCUUUGUUGGUUUGGCUGGCUGUGCUUGUAGCUGCUUUCCUGCUUAGCUGUUUGCUGCUGUUAUUUCUAUCCUGUUUUGCUGUAGGUCCUCGUUUCUUUGUUGGUUUGGCUGGCUGUGCUUGUAGCUGCUUUCCUGCUCAAGUGUUUGUUGCUGUUAUUUCUGUCCUGUUUUACUGCAGGUCUGGUUUCUCCUGCUUUCCUGUAUUGCUGGGAGCAGCUAGUGUGCUACAGGUCUGGUUUCUCUUGUUCUCUGGUCUACUGGGAGCUGCUGUUCGCACUGUUGUGGUUCUUUGUUGCUGGAUUGCAGGUUCUCUUCAGGAUGGUUUUUGUUUGUUUAGAGGAUAAUCUACACCAUAUCUAGAAUACAUCAAUGUGGUUUGAUAAGCUGACGAAUGUUGGAGGAGAUGUUAAGAAUUUUCUAACAGCCAGCCACCCGCAGCAGCUGGCGGCACCAGCAGCUAGCAGCCACCAGCAGGCAGCAGCAGCCACCAGCAGGCAGC